GGGAGGUUGCUGUCAGCCUGUCUUUAUGCUGUGCCUUCUGGCUCACAGUUCAGGAACCAAAAAAAGGGAACAGUUUUGAUGUUAUUCAGAUGUUAGCUAUCUCCAUUCUAUUCACCAGUUUUAUUACUCUUUGUGUGAACCACAAAGAACCUCCUUACUAACACAGGUACAACACAGAAGAACUGAAGCAUCAGAAGCUAAGGAAUAAUGCCAAAUUCUUGUUUGAAGUUGUUAAAUGACAAUUGCUCGCAGAACUAUAACCUUAGUUAUGCAAAUCACCAGAGUUCACGGCUGAAUGUGAGUACGUGUCCUCAUCAGUGGUCUUCUGCAUGGCACACAGAACUUCAGACAUCUGGUGAUGCAACUGAACUGCAGAGGGGAUGAAAAUGAACCAGCUACUUUUGGAAACAGCGAAAUAGUAAAGGCAGAAAGAAGAUGAGUAUCUCAAAAAUUGUCAAAUCUGAGAAAUUUCUUUGAAUGAUAACAUCUCCAGCUCUACAGACAUGAAAAGUAUGGAACAUGCAUUUUAUUAUCCAAAUCAAUUCUACCCCUUAUGCUUGGUAUUUCUCAGCUGUAGAGCCUUAUUCUACACCAGAAGUUCUUUCAGUUCUCGUAAUAAAAUUACAUUGUAG
RNAcentral lists this long non-coding RNA (632 nucleotides) under Coturnix japonica (Japanese quail). Its description in RNAcentral is "lncRNA (ENSCJPG00005012182.1)". The record is from RNAcentral. Lineage: Eukaryota; Metazoa; Chordata; Aves; Galliformes; Phasianidae.